Molecule: ribosomal RNA, 643 nt
Filed under: Salmonella enterica subsp. enterica
Lineage: Bacteria; Pseudomonadati; Pseudomonadota; Gammaproteobacteria; Enterobacterales; Enterobacteriaceae
Description: partial 23S ribosomal RNA
Rfam family: Bacterial large subunit ribosomal RNA
Source: RNAcentral
CGCGCGAUACAGGGUGACAGCCCCGUACACAAAAGCGCAUGUGUUGUGAGCUCGAUGAGUAGGGCGGGACACGUGGUAUCCUGUCUGAAUAUGGGGGGACCAUCCUCCAAGGCUAAAUACUCCUGACUGACCGAUAGUGAACCAGUACCGUGAGGGAAAGGCGAAAAGAACCCCGGCGAGGGGAGUGAAAAAGAACCUGAAACCGUGUACGUACAAGCAGUGGGAGCACAGGUUUACCUGUGUGACUGCGUACCUUUUGUAUAAUGGGUCAGCGACUUAUAUUCUGUAGCAAGGUUAACCGUAUAGGGGAGCCGGAGGGAAACCGAGUCUUAAUUGGGCGUUAAGUUGCAGGGUAUAGACCCGAAACCCGGUGAUCUAGCCAUGGGCAGGUUGAAGGUUGGGUAACACUAACUGGAGGACCGAACCGACUAAUGUUGAAAAAUUAGCGGAUGACCUGUGGCUGGGGGUGAAAGGCCAAUCAAACCGGGAGAUAGCUGGUUCUCCCCGAAAGCUAUUUAGGUAGCGCCUCGUGAAUUCAUCUCCGGGGGUAGAGCACUGUUUCGGCUAGGGGGCCAUCCCGGCUUACCAACCCGAUGCAAACUGCGAAUACCGGAGAAUGUUAUCACGGGAGACACACGGCGGG